GGGUAUAAUAAGUUGUACAUGGAGAUAAUGUAUGAUCAAUAAAGAAUCUACCACUUCUAGUAAAAGAAGAGAAAUGUCCUAUGUGAUUCGAUAAAUGACAACCCAGUAGUCAUUGGCCAAGGCAGAAUGAAAUUAGAAAGGAGUUUCUAAUUUGCAUUAUUUGGGGUUGUGCAUUUAAGAGUCGAAAUACAUAUAAUUAAAUAAAAUAAGACUUGACAGUAAUUCCAUGUCUUAUAUUUAAUUGGGACAUUGUAUGGUGGAAGGAUUGAAUUGUACGGUAACUAUUUACUCAAAGGUUCUUUUAUGAUUAAUGUUGAAAUCUAUAUUAUCUGAAAAGUCGUUAAUCGCUAGGGAGGCUUAUCCCUAUUAUAGAAUAAAUAUUAUUUAUUUAAAUAAAUUAU
RNAcentral lists this long non-coding RNA (401 nucleotides) under Panax ginseng (ginseng). RNAcentral's name for it is "long non-coding RNA (PGIN_LNC001476)". Lineage: Eukaryota; Viridiplantae; Streptophyta; Magnoliopsida; Apiales; Araliaceae. The record is from RNAcentral.